Molecule: transfer RNA, 77 nt
Filed under: Rhodopirellula baltica SH 1
Lineage: Bacteria; Pseudomonadati; Planctomycetota; Planctomycetia; Pirellulales; Pirellulaceae
Also listed under: 6 other names
Description: Arg tRNA
Rfam family: tRNA
About the family: Transfer RNA (tRNA) molecules are approximately 80 nucleotides in length. Their secondary structure includes four short double-helical elements and three loops (D, anti-codon, and T loops).
Source: RNAcentral
GCGCCCAUAGCUCAGCUGGAUAGAGCAACGGACUUCUAAUCCGUAGGUCGGUGGUUCGAAUCCACCUGGGCGUGCCU